RNAcentral lists this unclassified non-coding RNA (293 nucleotides) under Hevea brasiliensis (rubber tree). Lineage: Eukaryota; Viridiplantae; Streptophyta; Magnoliopsida; Malpighiales; Euphorbiaceae. The record is from RNAcentral.
ACUCUACUGGAUCCAUUUACUCUGAGGCACUGUUUCUUGAAUGCUGACCAGUACUGGAGGGCAUCUUUUCAGUCUUUACUUACGAGCAGGCAGCUUGUGGAAUACAUCAUAUUAGAUGUGGAGCCUCUUUCUUAUGAAGUUAGCGAUGGUAACCGCAAGUAUAACUUAGCAGAUGCUCAAGUUGCCCGCAAAUGUGAUUUUGGAAAGAACAAUAACAUUUUCUACAUAAGAACACAUCUUGGUCACAUUUUGAGUGCUGGGGAUUCGGCUCUUGGUUAUGACAUCUAUGGGGC